RNAcentral lists this ribosomal RNA (447 nucleotides) under uncultured Lachnospiraceae bacterium. RNAcentral describes it as "bacterial SSU rRNA". It matches the Rfam family "Bacterial small subunit ribosomal RNA", at positions 65 to 507 of the family's 1533-position model. Lineage: Bacteria; Bacillati; Bacillota; Clostridia; Lachnospirales; Lachnospiraceae. The record is from RNAcentral.
AACGGAGAUAUCAUUUCGAAGCGAUAGUUACUAAGAGCGGAGAUGUGUCUAUCUUAGUGGCGGACGGGUGAGUAACGCGUGGUAACCUGCCUUACACUGGGGAUAACACUAGAAUAGUGCUAAUACGCAUAACAGGGAAAGAUGCAUGUCUUUUCCUUAAAAACUCCGGUGGUGUAAGAUGGACCCGCGUCUGAUUAGCUUGUUGGCGGGGUAACGGCCCACCAAGGCGACGAUCAGUAGCCGGCCUGAGAGGGUGAACGGCCACAUUGGGACUGAGACACGGCCCAAACUCCUACGGGAGGCAGCAGUGGGGAAUAUUGGACAAUGGGGGGAACCCUGAUCCAGCGACGCCGCGUGAGUGAAGAAGUAUUUCGGGUAUGCAAAGCUCUAUCAGCAGGGAAGAAAGAAAUGACGGUACCUGACUAAGAAGCCCCGGCUAACUACGUG